GCACUCGUAGUAUAAUGGAUAAAAUAGAGGCCUCCGACGCCUUAGAUGUAGGUUCGAUUCCUACCGGGUGCA
Molecule: transfer RNA, 72 nt
Filed under: Lachnospiraceae bacterium
Lineage: Bacteria; Bacillati; Bacillota; Clostridia; Lachnospirales; Lachnospiraceae
Description: tRNA-Arg
Rfam family: tRNA
About the family: Transfer RNA (tRNA) molecules are approximately 80 nucleotides in length. Their secondary structure includes four short double-helical elements and three loops (D, anti-codon, and T loops). Further hydrogen bonds mediate the characteristic L-shaped molecular structure. tRNAs have two regions of fundamental functional importance: the anti-codon, which is responsible for specific mRNA codon recognition, and the 3' end, to which the tRNAs corresponding amino acid is attached (by aminoacyl-tRNA synthetases). tRNAs cope with the degeneracy of the genetic code in two manners: having more than one tRNA (with a specific anti-codon) for a particular amino acid; and 'wobble' base-pairing, i.e. permitting non-standard base-pairing at the 3rd anti-codon position.
Source: RNAcentral